UUCUUAUGAUGGAGCUUAGAGGGGGCGGGGGUGGUAUGCCCGGAUAUCCCUGAAGGCUCAACCUUCCCACUGUCUCCCAUCUUCACCCUGGAGUUGCUAAAACAGACCUACCUUUGGCAAAAUAUAUGGCUGUUUCUUACUCAGUAAGACCCAUUUCUUCUGAGGAGAGCAGUAGAUUUCAUCAAUAUCACAUGGCAAUACAUUGACUGUGGAAAUGAGGUGUAAAUCUGGAAUUCUAAAGAUGUACAGGUUACCCAAGAUAUCGCCUGCCUGAAAUCAGAGCAGUGGCACCUGGUCAGUGAGGAAAAGUUAAGUAUGGAGGAAGCAGUGUUAUCUGCUCAGAGAUACACCACUGUGUCUUCAAGUCCUGUAACAAGACUGAAAGCUGUGACCAGCCUGCCUCACAGAGUGUCUACACUGAUCCAUGGAAUAAGAUUCUCUAGACCUGGGGGGAUGACUCAUUCCCACAGAUGGUAGCAAGAAGAUGGUUCCAUCCAUGUAAGACAGAACCAGCUAAAAAAGACGCACACACAGACACACAUCAGAACUCCAAAUUUCUGGAUACCGUUUCAGCUGCAAGUAGCCUGCUCUCCAGGCUCUGCAGCCCCUUGGCUUUGAUCUGUGAAUAUACAAAUAUCUCUGCUCUGCAGCUGCACCUGCCCUAACUCUCUGCCUCCUCAAACAGCAGUGUUGCUCUGAGCUCUGUCCCUCCCUCCUCACCACAGCAUCCCAAGAGUGCGGCCCACACCAAGGGAGCGACCGCUGGCCCCCGCCCCAGGGAAAGGAGUCCCAGAAUGGACUGCGGACCAACGGACAAAGCGCCAGGGUGGGCUGUGGGCGGGCAGACAAGGCGGGCUGCCAGAACGGGCAGGUGGAGGCAAAAGAGCCACGCCAUCAAAACAGACCAUGGUGUGCUCUUAUGCAAACCAUUACAGGUAUAACUUUUGCUAUUCACCCUAUGCAGAUAUCCCCUGCGGUGUUCUUCUCCUCUGUUACAAUUACUCUACAGGUCUAUCUCCACACAGUGCCUGCUGUCACAAGUCCACCUGAGACAGCUCCAUCUCCUGAGACCUACAGACAAAAGCUGCCUUCCUCCAAGAACCUCAUCUGACUGAAGACUCCCAAGACACACACUAAAUCCUACAAAAGACAGACUUGGGACCUUCCAGCUACAGAUGAACUCUCUUGCCAAAGCCAAAUGGCUGCUGAACUUGGGGAAAAUUACAUGAUAGUGAGGAAAACAUAAUGUCUAUCUAGAUUAAUUAAUUGAUGUUCAAAACUGAUGUUAUUAGCCUCAAAUUGUACUACCCAUGGAAAAAUUAAUUGAUCGUACAAUCUCUUACCUUCUCAACACUUACCUUAACUCUUACUACUGUGGCUUUGUUGUGCUACUUCUCUAGGCUAUAUGUUUUCUUCUGAUACUUCCACUCCACCCUAAAUUUUCACAACUAAUGACACAGUCACACAGUGUCACACACACCCCGUUUUCUUAUAAAAACAGACGGGAUACUUGUGGGGCAUUGGGCUAUGCACAGACGGCCUGG
Molecule: long non-coding RNA, 1544 nt
Organism: Mus musculus (house mouse)
Lineage: Eukaryota; Metazoa; Chordata; Mammalia; Rodentia; Muridae
Product: predicted gene, 40579
Exons: 4
Source: RefSeq, a predicted model, not a curated record